This 224-nucleotide ribosomal RNA is filed under the name Ixodes scapularis (black-legged tick). RNAcentral describes it as "eukaryotic small subunit ribosomal RNA". It matches the Rfam family "Eukaryotic small subunit ribosomal RNA", at positions 1229 to 1478 of the family's 1831-position model. Lineage: Eukaryota; Metazoa; Arthropoda; Arachnida; Ixodida; Ixodidae. The record is from RNAcentral.
UUUUGGGAGGAUUGACAGAUUGAGAGCUCUUUCUUCAUUCGGUGGAUAGUGGUGCAUGUCCGUUCUUAGUAGGGGAGCGAUUUGUCUGGUUAAUAUCGAUAACGAACAAGACUCUAGUUUAAUAAAUAGGUGCGUGGUUCUCUGACUCUUUACCCUUCUCAGAGGGACACGCGGCUCCUAGCCGCACGAAACAGAACAGUAACAUGUCUGUGAUGUCCUUAGAU